This 230-nucleotide ribosomal RNA is filed under the name uncultured bacterium. RNAcentral describes it as "partial 16S ribosomal RNA". It matches the Rfam family "Bacterial small subunit ribosomal RNA", at positions 109 to 334 of the family's 1533-position model. The record is from RNAcentral.
CGGAACACGUACGCAAUCUACCCAAAACUGAUGAAUAGCCCUCCGAAAGGAGGAUUAAUACACCGUAAUAUAUAGAGGUGGCAUCAUUUUUAUAUUAAAGGUCGCAAGAUCGGUUUUGGAUGGGCGUGCGCCUGAUUAGGUAGUUGGUGCGGGUAAUGGCCCACCAAGCCUUCGAUCAGUAACUGGUGUGAGAGCACGACCAGUCACACGGGCACUGAGACACGGGCCCG